This 442-nucleotide ribosomal RNA is filed under the name uncultured bacterium. RNAcentral's name for it is "partial 16S ribosomal RNA". It matches the Rfam family "Bacterial small subunit ribosomal RNA", at positions 338 to 795 of the family's 1533-position model. The record is from RNAcentral.
CCUACGGGUGGCAGCAGUAGGGAAUCUUUCACAAUGGGCGAAAGCCUGAUGGAGCAACGCCGCGUGCAGGAUGAAGGCCUUCGGGUUGUAAACUGCUUUUAUAAGAGAGAAAUAUGAUGGUAACUUAUGAAUAAGGAUCGGCUAACUACGGGCCAGCAGCCGCGGUCAUACGUAGGAUCCGAGCAUUAUCCGGAGUGACUGGGUGUAAAGAGUUGCGUAGGUGGCAUAAUAAGUAGCUAGUGAAAUCUGGUGGCUCAACCAUUCAGACUAUUAGCUAAACUGUUAAGCUCGAGACCGUUAGGAGUAACUGUAAUUUCUAGUGUAGGAGUGAAAUCCGUAGAUAUUAGAAGGAACACCAAUAGCGUAGGCAGGUUGCUGGGACGGUUCUGACACUAAGGCACGAAAGCGUAGGGAGCAAACGGGAUUAGAUACCCUAGUAGUC